RNAcentral lists this ribosomal RNA (497 nucleotides) under uncultured bacterium. RNAcentral describes it as "partial 16S ribosomal RNA". It matches the Rfam family "Bacterial small subunit ribosomal RNA", at positions 28 to 507 of the family's 1533-position model. The record is from RNAcentral.
GAUGAACGCUGGCGGCGUGCCUAAUACAUGCAAGUCGAGCGAACGGACGAGAAGCUUGCUUUUCUGAUGUUAGCGGCGGACGGGUGAGUAACACGUGGAUAACCUACCUAUAAGACUGGGAUAACUUCGGGAAACCGGAGCUAAUACCGGAUAAUAUUUUGAACCGCAUGGUUCAAAAGUGAAAGACGGUCUUGCUGUCGCUUAUAGAUGGAUCCGCGCUGCAUUAGCUAGUUGGUAAGGUAACGGCUUACCAAGGCAACUAUGCAUAGCCGACCUGAGAGGGGGAUCGGCGACACGGGAACGGGAACACGGACCAGGCGCCUACGGGAGGGACCAGUAGGGAACCGUCGGCAAUGGGCGAAAGCCUGACGGAGCAGCGCCGCGCGAGUUAUGAAGGUCUUCGGAUCGUAAAACUGUGUUAUUAGGGAAGAACAUAUGUGUAAGUAACUGUGCACAUCGUGACGGUACCUAGUCAGAAAGCCACGGCUAACUACGUG